Molecule: long non-coding RNA, 830 nt
Organism: Oncorhynchus tshawytscha (Chinook salmon)
Lineage: Eukaryota; Metazoa; Chordata; Actinopteri; Salmoniformes; Salmonidae
Source: Ensembl
UGCUGCCGAUCUCCAGCGUCGGUCCUUUCAGUUUCUUUCUUGAGGGAGGUUUCUCACCAGCACUGUAGAUGUCCAUGUACCACAAUAGGUUGAGAAGCUGUAAAGAAAAAGCCAUAUCUCAGACUGGCCAAUGAAAAGAAAAGAACACAGCCACUGGACAGAGGAACUCUGCCUAGAAGGCCAGCAUCCCGGAGACGCCUCUUGACUGUUGACAUUGAAACUGACCCCAGGAAGACCAGCUUUCAUCAUGGCAUCAGCUAAUGAGGAUCCUGUCACGGCUGUUGAAAGGAGAGGACCAAGGUGCAGCGUGGUGAGUGUACAUUUUCGUUUAUUUAAUCAAAAUGACACCGAACAACACAAAUAACACUACAAAAACAAACCGUGAAGCUCAAAGGCUUCCCACAAAGAAAGGAGGGGAAAAAGGCUACCUAAGUAUGGUUCCCAAUCAGAGACAACGAUAGACAGCUGUCCCUGAUUGAGAACCAUACCCGGCCAAAACAUAGAAACACUAAAUCGUAGAAAACGAAACAUAGAAUGCCCACCCCAAAUCACACCCUGACCAAACCAAAUAGAGACAUUAAAAGGCUCUCUACGUUCAGGGCGUGACAGAUCCUAAAAAAAAUCUAAAUCAAAUCAAACGUGUGCCACGGGUUGAUUCACUGUUGUGGUCAUCCUGUCUGGGUUGGCGCCCCCCCCUUGGUUUGUGCCGUGGCGGAGAUCUUUGUGGGCUAUACUCAGCCUUGUCUCAGGAUGGUAAAUUGGUGGUUGAAGAUAUCCCUCUAGUGGUGUGGGGGCUGUGCUUUGGCAAAGUGGGUGGGGUUAUAUCCUUC